RNAcentral lists this ribosomal RNA (253 nucleotides) under uncultured bacterium. RNAcentral describes it as "partial 16S ribosomal RNA". It matches the Rfam family "Bacterial small subunit ribosomal RNA", at positions 524 to 776 of the family's 1533-position model. The record is from RNAcentral.
UACGGAGGGUGCAAGCGUUAUCCGGAUUCACUGGGUUUAAAGGGUGCGUAGGUGGGCUUGUAAGUCAGUGGUGAAAUCUCCGGGCUUAACCCGGAAACUGCCAUUGAUACUAUAGGUCUUGAAUCAUCUGGAGGUGAGCGGAAUAUGUCAUGUAGCGGUGAAAUGCUUAGAUAUGACAUAGAACACCGAUUGCGAAGGCAGCUCACUACGGAUGUAUUGACACUGAGGCACGAAAGCGUGGGGAUCAAACAGG